AGCAGCCGCCGCGGUAAUACGUAGGUCCCGAGCGUUGUCCGGAUUUAUUGGGCGUAAAGCGAGCGCAGGCGGUUAGAUAAGUCUGAAGUUAAAGGCUGUGGCUUAACCAUAGUACGCUUUGGAAACUGUUUAACUUGAGUGCAAGAGGGGAGAGUGGAAUUCCAUGUGUAGCGGUGAAAUGCGUAGAUAUAUGGAGGAACACCGGUGGCGAAAGCGGCUCUCUGGCUUGUAACUGACGCUGAGGCUCGAAAGCGUGGGGAGCAAACAGGAUUAGAUACCCCUGUAGUCCCUGUCUCUUAUACA
RNAcentral lists this ribosomal RNA (303 nucleotides) under uncultured bacterium. RNAcentral describes it as "partial 16S ribosomal RNA". It matches the Rfam family "Bacterial small subunit ribosomal RNA", at positions 507 to 808 of the family's 1533-position model. The record is from RNAcentral.